AAUAUGUGCAGGCCUUUAUGACUAUGUCAUGGGUGGCUCCUCUGAAAUGCAUUAGCGGAGCUGCUUGCAACCUUGCUAUAGGCGUGAUAAAUUAUUUCUGUGCCAAGUGGGGUUUGCCUUGUUGUGGUUUGGCUUCCAACUCGGU
This 145-nucleotide ribosomal RNA is filed under the name Leucocoprinus gongylophorus. RNAcentral's name for it is "Leucoagaricus gongylophorus 5.8S ribosomal RNA". The record is from RNAcentral. Lineage: Eukaryota; Fungi; Basidiomycota; Agaricomycetes; Agaricales; Agaricaceae.